Triticum aestivum (bread wheat) is the source of this 587-nucleotide long non-coding RNA. RefSeq lists it as uncharacterized. Lineage: Eukaryota; Viridiplantae; Streptophyta; Magnoliopsida; Poales; Poaceae. The record is from RefSeq and is a predicted model, not a curated record. The transcript has 3 exons.
CACACACACACACACACACACACACACACAUGAAUAUUACCUGAAUUCAUAUAGUUUUACAAAAGAGAACUUUAUAUACAACUGGAUUUAUUGUACUCUAGUUUGAAGCACAUGACCUAUUUUUUAUUGUUGUAGAUCAUUGUUGGUGAUGGCAAGAAUUGUGAUGAUUUUGUAUAUGUUGAUAAUGUGGUGCAUGCUCAUAUAUGUGCCGAGAAAACCCUUUCUACGAAAGACGGUGCAAAGAGAAGUGGAGGCAAAACCUACUUUAUAACUAAUAUGGAGCCAGUGAAUAUGUGGGACUUUAUUUACAUGGUUUUGGAAGAACUUGGAUACAAAAGCCGUUUCAGACUAAGAAUACCUUUAUGCCUUCUGGAGCCAAUAACAUUUGUGGUAAACUGGAGCUAUAAUAAUAUAUUCUCGCACUAUGGAAUGCGUUAACCUGGCAUGCUAACAUCCACAAGAAUUAAGUAUGCGACCCUCAAUAGAACAUUCAAGUGCAACAAUGCUGUUGAACAACUUGGUUACAAAGCAAUAGUCUCACUCAAGGUUGUUACUUUAAUUUUUCUUUGUUCAAUUUCUAUACUUAG